CGGUGGAGCAUGUGGUUUAAUUCGAUGAUACGCGAGGAACCUUACCUGGGCUCAAAUGUAUGUUGACGUAUUCUGAAAGGGAUACUUCUUCGGACAAUAUACAAGGUGCUGCAUGGUUGUCGUCAGCUCGUGCCGUGAGGUGUCGGGUUAAGUCCCAUAACGAGCGCAACCCCUAUCAUUAGUUGCCAUCAGGUCAAGCUGGGGACUCUAAUGAAACUGCCUACGCAAGUAGUGAGGAAGGUGGGGAUGACGUCAAAUCAGCACGGCCCUUACGUCCAGGGCUACACACGUGCUACAAUGGCCGGUACAAAGGGCAGCUACCUGGUGACAGGAUGCUAAUCUCAAAAGCCGGUCUCAGUUCGGAUUGGAGUCUGCAACUCGACUCCAUGAAGUUGGAAUCGCUAGUAAUCGUGAAUCAGAAUGUCACGGUGAAUACGUUCCCGGGCCUU
Molecule: ribosomal RNA, 449 nt
Filed under: uncultured Sphingobacteriales bacterium
Lineage: Bacteria; Pseudomonadati; Bacteroidota; Sphingobacteriia; Sphingobacteriales
Description: bacterial SSU rRNA
Rfam family: Bacterial small subunit ribosomal RNA
Source: RNAcentral